AACGAGCAUGUUGAGACCAAUGUGAUAAGAGAAACAUUUGGUUUUGGUAUCUACACAAAAGAUACCGGUUAAGUGCAAUAGCCAUUUCCCGCUUCGAACUAAACUUUGAGUAGCAGCUUCAAAACCCUCUCCUCUCCUCUCCUCUCCUCUCCAUUCCAUUUCCCCCUAUUUCACAAAUCAUUAGGGUUUCGUUUUACUCUCUCAUUCAUAGAAUAGAAUACAACCAUGGCUNNN
RNAcentral lists this long non-coding RNA (234 nucleotides) under Cicer arietinum (chickpea). Its description in RNAcentral is "long non-coding RNA (CARI_LNC003350)". Lineage: Eukaryota; Viridiplantae; Streptophyta; Magnoliopsida; Fabales; Fabaceae. The record is from RNAcentral.